RNAcentral lists this ribosomal RNA (490 nucleotides) under uncultured bacterium. RNAcentral describes it as "partial 16S ribosomal RNA". It matches the Rfam family "Bacterial small subunit ribosomal RNA", at positions 30 to 507 of the family's 1533-position model. The record is from RNAcentral.
AUUGAACGCUGGCGGCAGGCCUAACACAUGCAAGUCGAACGGUAACAGGAAGAAGCUUGCUUCUUUGCUGACGAGUGGCGGACGGGUGAGUAAUGUCUGGGAAACUGCCUGAUGGAGGGGGAUAACUACUGGAAACGGUAGCUAAUACCGCAUAACGUCGCAAGACCAAAAAGGGGGACCUUCGGGCCUCUUGCCAUCGGAUGUGCCCAGAUGGGAUUAGCUAGUAGGUGGGGUAACGGCUCACCUAGGCGACGAUCCCUAGCUGGUCUGAGAGGAUGACAGGCCACCCUGGAACUGAGACACGGACCAGACUCCUACGGGAGGCAGCAGUGGGGAAUAUUGCACAAUGGGCGCAAGCCUGAUGCAGCCAUGCCGCGUGUAUGAAGAAGGCCUUCGGGUUGUAAAGUACUUUCAGCGGGGAGGAAGGGAGUAAAGUUAAUACCUUUGCUCAUUGACGUUACCCGCAGAAGAAGCACCGGCUAACUCCGUG